Molecule: long non-coding RNA, 409 nt
Filed under: Gossypium raimondii (Peruvian cotton)
Lineage: Eukaryota; Viridiplantae; Streptophyta; Magnoliopsida; Malvales; Malvaceae
Description: long non-coding RNA (GRAI_LNC006441)
Source: RNAcentral
UUACUUUCCAAAAGUUACGAGUUACAAAUCCUAUCUCCCUAACGUUGCGGUGGAGUGGAUCGAAGCACCAAUUCCAAUACCUCUAAAGAUGUAGUAGGAUGGAAUGAGGCAACUCAAAGAAGAAGAGCAGCAAGGUCCAGUACGACCGGGCAAAAUUGAUCAUUUCUAGUCUUUACUCUGUUCUUGUUACACAACAACGAGCAAAGAGGGGCAGCUGUAAUAGGCCAAUUUGCCCGGCCCACUUUGUUAAAGCAAAUAAAAAGGAAAAAAAACAAAAUAUUAAAGUUUAGCCCAAAUGUCCAUUUACAAACCCAAUACAGUAUAAACAUAACCCGAAUUACCCCAAUGCACCCCAGCCCAAUAGCCAACUCAGCCCAAAUGGCCCAGUUACAAUUGCCCGAUACCCCGG